Molecule: transfer RNA, 72 nt
Filed under: Stegodyphus mimosarum
Lineage: Eukaryota; Metazoa; Arthropoda; Arachnida; Araneae; Eresidae
Rfam family: tRNA
About the family: Transfer RNA (tRNA) molecules are approximately 80 nucleotides in length. Their secondary structure includes four short double-helical elements and three loops (D, anti-codon, and T loops).
Source: Rfam by way of RNAcentral
GCUUCGUGGUGUUGUGGUCAGCACGCUGGGCCCGUAUUCCAGAGGUCUAUGGUUCGAGUCCCGGCGAAAGCG